GGUGGUGUAGCUCAGUGAUAAAGCAUAUGCUUAGCAUGCACAAGGCCCUGGAUUCCAUCCCCAACACUGCCA
Molecule: transfer RNA, 72 nt
Filed under: Cavia porcellus (domestic guinea pig)
Lineage: Eukaryota; Metazoa; Chordata; Mammalia; Rodentia; Caviidae
Rfam family: tRNA
About the family: Transfer RNA (tRNA) molecules are approximately 80 nucleotides in length. Their secondary structure includes four short double-helical elements and three loops (D, anti-codon, and T loops).
Source: Rfam by way of RNAcentral